CCUACGGGUGGCUGCCGUGAGGGAUAUUGGACAAUGGGGGAAACCCUGAACCCGCAACGCCGCGUGAGGGAAGACGGUUUUCGGAUUGUACACCUCUGUCCUCUGUGAAGCUAAUGACGGUAGCAGAGGAGGAAGCUCCGGCUAACUACGUGCCAGCAGACGCGGUAAUACGUAGGGGGCGAGCGUUAUCCGGAUUCACUGUGUGUAAAGGGAGCGUAGACGGCCAUGCAAGCCAGGUGUGAAAGCCCGGGGCCCAACCCCGGGACUGCCCUUGGAACUGCAUGGCUGGAGUGCGGGAGGGGCAGGCGGAAUGCCUGGGGUAGCGGUGAAAUGCGUAGAUAUCAGGAGGAACACCGGCGGCGAAGGCGGCCUGCUGGACCGCGACUGACGUUGAGGCGCGAAAGCGUGGGGAGCGAACAGGAUUAGAUACCCGUGUAGUC
Molecule: ribosomal RNA, 440 nt
Filed under: uncultured bacterium
Lineage: Bacteria
Description: partial 16S ribosomal RNA
Rfam family: Bacterial small subunit ribosomal RNA
Source: RNAcentral